Molecule: unclassified non-coding RNA, 601 nt
Filed under: Hevea brasiliensis (rubber tree)
Lineage: Eukaryota; Viridiplantae; Streptophyta; Magnoliopsida; Malpighiales; Euphorbiaceae
Source: RNAcentral
AAAAAAUCACUCUCUCUCUCUGUAAUCUCUCUCUUUCAUCAUUCAUCAUGCCUUUUCUUCAAAACAAUUUCACACAAUUUUCACAUUUGCUUUUCUUAUUCCUCCUCUGUUUUUUACAGUGUAAAUUGGCUACUUCUUCCAUGUCUAUUCAUGAUCUACUAAAAUCAAAAGGAUUACCAGCUGGACUCCUCCCUAAAGAAGUGAAAUCUUACAAUUUAUCAGAUUCUGGUUUUCUUCAAGUUUUUUUAGAUGGGCCUUGUUUGGCUAAAUUUGAUACUAUGGCUUUAUAUGAUAGUGUUGUAAGAGCAAAUCUCACUUAUGGUUCACUAGGCGCUGUGGAAGGAUUUUCUCAACAAGAGCUUUUUGUUUGGUUACCUGUUAAAGGAAUUGUGGUUGAUAAUCCUUCAUCUGGUCUUAUACUUUUUGAUAUUGGUUUGGCUCAUAAACAACUCUCUCUUUCACUUUUUGAAGAUCCUCCUAAUUGCAAACCAGAUGGUGUUCUGAAGAAGAAUGGUAGGAAGGAGAAGGGAUUUGAAGAUCAAUAAUAAAGAAAUGCCCAUUUUGGAAAAUUAUUAAAUGUCCAUAAUAAUUAUGGAUUUUG